GAAGCCCUUAGAGGUGGUGCAGGGGUGGCUGCUGUGUCACAUGUGCAUCAGCAGGUGGCAGAGAGGAGAGAGGCUAUGUCUACACUCUGUUCUGACCUGCGAACAUCUGAAUUAGUAGUAGCCUAACACU
Small nucleolar RNA from Rattus norvegicus (Norway rat), 130 nucleotides. Ensembl annotates it as small nucleolar RNA SNORA17. The record is from Ensembl. NCBI's taxonomy places the organism in Eukaryota, Metazoa, Chordata, Mammalia, Rodentia, Muridae.